Molecule: non-coding RNA, 217 nt
Organism: Schistosoma mattheei
Lineage: Eukaryota; Metazoa; Platyhelminthes; Trematoda; Strigeidida; Schistosomatidae
Source: Rfam
GAUUUUUCUUAGUUGGGUGAAGCGAUUUGUCUGGUUAAUUUCGAUAAUAAAUAGACUUUAACUUGUUAAAUAAUAGACUGAUCCUCCGUUCUCGUUUACGGCGCGGAUUCUAUAACUUCUUUAUGGUGUAGUGUGAUCGUGAUCCGCUGGUUCUUACUUGUUAGAGGGACAAGCAGCAUACCCAAGUUGCACGAAAUUGAGCAAUAACAUGUCUGUG